Molecule: long non-coding RNA, 451 nt
Filed under: Brassica napus (rape)
Lineage: Eukaryota; Viridiplantae; Streptophyta; Magnoliopsida; Brassicales; Brassicaceae
Description: long non-coding RNA (BNAP_LNC022242)
Source: RNAcentral
UGUGAAUAUAACUUUUGUGGAGUUUGGGUUUAUCUGGAAAACAGCUUGGAUUUAGGAGGUUUUCCAUUUGUUUUUUUUUUAAUAUUAUUAUAAAUGUCCUUUUCAUUUACGCGGGCAAGAAUAUUAAAUAAAGGGAAUUUUAAUGGAAAACAGCUUGGAUUUAGGAGGUUUUCCAUUUGUUUUUUUUUAAAUUAUUAUAAUAAAUGUCCUUUUCAUUUACGCGGGCAAGAAUAUUAAAUAAAGGCAAUUUUACUAAAAAGGAGAAAAACACUGGUCACCGGUAAACGCCGGUCAUGGGAGGCUUACGGUUGUGAAUGUUAUCGGGACGGUGCCGUCCUCUGCCGAGCAUUUAAUUUUCGUCCCUUCAUUCUGUUGUUUUUUAUGCUUUAUUCCCACGUUGUGUCGUGUCGUGUCUCCUAACGGCAUGGUUACACGAUCUGGUCUCUAAUUU